AUCAGAACCAAACCAAAACAGUAAAUUAAGGUCAGUUCGGUUCCUAUAGUAACGGUUCUUUUUCGGCUUCUGUUCGGUUCGGUACGGUUCUUCAGUUCGGUUUGGGACCCCCAGAAACCAUGCACAGCCUAUUGAUAACACUGCUUUGGUAUAGGAAUCAGUCAGCGACCAUCCCUCUUUUUAGAAAUCAGCCAGGGUUUCCUCAUGAUACUGCGAACAGCUCUUGAGAACUCGUGCAUACUUUGGCAGCCUGUGCCCAUUUGCACUCCUAGUGUCAGCAAUUAUGCAAAUUUUAUUGAAGUUGUGCUUGAUGAUCUUUAAUAUCGUAAUGUUCAUCUAUAAUUGAAUUUAUGUCAGUUUUUUCAUUAAUUGUUCUCCCAAUAAAAUUAAUCAAGCAAUUUGCCAAAAAAAAAA
Molecule: unclassified non-coding RNA, 414 nt
Filed under: Hevea brasiliensis (rubber tree)
Lineage: Eukaryota; Viridiplantae; Streptophyta; Magnoliopsida; Malpighiales; Euphorbiaceae
Source: RNAcentral